AGUGAACGCUGGCGGUAGGCCUAACACAUGCAAGUCGAACGGCAGCACAGUAAGAGCUUGCUCUUACGGGUGGCGAGUGGCGGACGGGUGAGGAAUACAUCGGAAUCUACUUUUUCGUGGGGGAUAACGUAGGGAAACUUACGCUAAUACCGCAUACGACCUACGGGUGAAAGCAGGGGAUCUUCGGACCUUACGCGAUUGAAUGAGCCGCUGUCGGAUUAGCUAGUUGGCGGGGUAAAGGCCCACCAAGGCGACGAUCCGUAGCUGGUCUGAGAGGAUGAUCAGCCACACUGGAACUGAGACACGGUCCAGACUCCUACGGGAGGCAGCAGUGGGGAAUAUUGGACAAUGGGCGCAAGCCUGAUCCAGCCAUACCGCGUGGGUGAAGAAGGCCUUCGGGUUGUAAAGCCCUUUUGUUGGGAAAGAAAAGCAGCAGGUUAAUACCCCGCUGUUCUGACGGUACCCAAAGAAUAAGCACCGGCUAACUUCGUG
Molecule: ribosomal RNA, 492 nt
Filed under: uncultured bacterium
Lineage: Bacteria
Description: partial 16S ribosomal RNA
Rfam family: Bacterial small subunit ribosomal RNA
Source: RNAcentral